This 306-nucleotide unclassified non-coding RNA is filed under the name plant metagenome. RNAcentral describes it as "partial contains 5.8S ribosomal RNA, internal transcribed spacer 2, and large subunit ribosomal RNA". The stretch from base 1 to 105 matches the Rfam family "5.8S ribosomal RNA", at positions 50 to 154 of the family's 154-position model. The record is from RNAcentral.
GAAAUGCGAUAAGUAGUGUGAAUUGCAGAAUUCAGUGAAUCAUCGAAUCUUUGAACGCACAUUGCGCCCCUCGGUAUUCCGUGGGGCAUGCCUGUUCGAGCGUCAUCUACACCCUCAAGCUCUGCUUGGUGUUGGGCGUCUGUCCCGCCUUCGCGCGCGGACUCGCCCCAAAUGCAUUGGCAGCGGUCCUUGCCCCCUCCCGCGCAGCACAUUGCGCUUCUCGAGGCUGCGGCGGCCCGCGUCCAACAAACUGAACCCCCCCGUCUUUGACCUCGGAUCAGGUAGGGAUACCCGCUGAACUUAAGC